This is a long non-coding RNA of Herpailurus yagouaroundi (jaguarundi), 409 nucleotides long. RefSeq lists it as uncharacterized. The record is from RefSeq and is a predicted model, not a curated record. Lineage: Eukaryota; Metazoa; Chordata; Mammalia; Carnivora; Felidae. The transcript is spliced from 4 exons.
UGAAUAUCUUAGAGAUGUCUCAAGAAUCUUUGUUUUUUCUCUUAGAAAAAUAACAGUGAUAAUGUUAAUAACUCACAAGAAGACAAUACACAGCUGGACAUUCCCUUUCUAAACCACAUGUGAUUACUUUAUCGGAGUGAUGGAAAGAGCCCUGGAUGAUAGGGAAGAUCAAAGAAGACCAUGCACAGGAUGAGAAAGAUCCAGUCUGCAAACAACACAUGCCAGAGAAUUUGGGGGAGAUUACCAUCACCUGCAGAUGGAACCAAACGAUGAGAAAACUUGUGACACAUUCCAACUGCUGAAAGGGGAAAGUGAGAUUUCAGUCGAAGGAUGAGACAGCAAUAAAGAAAUGCCCACCAUUGAGAAAUAUACAUCUUUUGCUUUACAUCCGAGAAUUCUUAAUAGAGAG